This 396-nucleotide transfer-messenger RNA is filed under the name uncultured Prevotella sp. It matches the Rfam family "transfer-messenger RNA". Rfam says of the family: Bacterial tmRNA, also known as 10Sa RNA or SsrA, is named for its dual tRNA and mRNA-like properties. Lineage: Bacteria; Pseudomonadati; Bacteroidota; Bacteroidia; Bacteroidales; Prevotellaceae. The record is from RNAcentral.
GGGGUUGACUGGAUUUGACAGCAGGAUGAGAUGGUACGUAAGCACGCGGAGCCUCGUUGGCUAGCUCCUUAAUCUGAGUGAACAAAAAUUAAUUGGCAACAAUAAGUAUGCUCUCGCUGCUUAAUCGAAGCACAGUAGAUUACGAGCUUAAUUCUGUCACCAGGUGAUAGAACGAGACAUCGCUCCAAGGGUGUUGUUCCGAAUCUGAGGGUCAAGCGGUGCAGGUAAAUCGGAAAUAGCUAUGUCGGGCCUCGACGGCAUGGUGAAAUUUAGAGGAUAAGGUUGCAGUUGGUGGUCCAGGUCUUGCUGCAGCACGAAAACCAAAGGCUGGAAUAAGCGUGUAGAAAGCGUAUGGUUUCCCUGUUUGGACGAGGGUUCGACUCCCUCCAGCUCCAC